UCCUUCUUCUUCCUCUUCUCUUUCUUCGCCUUCUUCGUCUUCGACAA
RNAcentral lists this small RNA (47 nucleotides) under Arabidopsis thaliana (thale cress). RNAcentral's name for it is "ATSL109830". Lineage: Eukaryota; Viridiplantae; Streptophyta; Magnoliopsida; Brassicales; Brassicaceae. The record is from RNAcentral.